This 331-nucleotide unclassified non-coding RNA is filed under the name soil metagenome. Its description in RNAcentral is "partial contains 5.8S ribosomal RNA, internal transcribed spacer 2, and large subunit ribosomal RNA". The stretch from base 1 to 120 matches the Rfam family "5.8S ribosomal RNA", at positions 35 to 154 of the family's 154-position model. The record is from RNAcentral.
GAUGAAGAACGCAGCGAAAUGCGAUAAGUAAUGUGAAUAGCAGAAUUCAGUGAAUCAUCGAAUCUUUGAACGCACAUUGCGCCCCCUGGUAUUCCGGGGGGCAUGCCUGUUCGAGCGUCAUUUCACCACUCAAGCCUCGCUUGGUAUUGGGCAACGCGGUCCGCCGCGUGCCUCAAAUCGACCGGCUGGGUCUUCUGUCCCCUAAGCGUUGUGGAAACUAUUCGCUAAAGGGUGUUCGGGAGGCUACGCCGUAAAACAACCCCAUUUCUAAGGUUGACCUCGGAUCAGGUAGGGAUACCCGCUGAACUUAAGCAUAUCAAUAAGCGGAGGA